Molecule: ribosomal RNA, 433 nt
Filed under: uncultured bacterium
Lineage: Bacteria
Description: partial 16S ribosomal RNA
Rfam family: Bacterial small subunit ribosomal RNA
Source: RNAcentral
AACGAACGCUGGCGGCAUGCCUAACACAUGCAAGUCGAACGAGACCUUCGGGUCUAGUGGCGCACGGGUGCGUAACGCGUGGGAACCUGCCCUUAGGUUCGGAAUAACUCCCCGAAAGGGGUGCUAAUACCGGAUAAUGUCUUCGGACCAAAGAUCUAUCGCUUUUGGAUGGGCCCGCGUUGGAUUCGCUAGUUGGUAGGGUAAAAGCCUACCAAGGCGACGAUCCAUAGCUGGUCUGAGAGGAUGAUCAGCCACACUGGGACUGAGACACGGCCCAGACUCCUACGGGAGGCAGCAGUGGGGAAUAUUGGACGAGGGGCGAAAGCCUGAUCCAGCAAUGCCGCGUAAGUGAUGAAGGCCUUAGGAUUGUAAAGCUCUUUUACCCGGGAUGAUAAUGACAGUACCGGGAGAAUAAGCUCCGGCUAACUCCGUG